AGCACGUUUCAAAGAGGGAUUGUGGGGAUGUGAAACCAGGAGCUUUUAAUGCUAUGACCAAAGAUUGGAGUUCUGUGUAGGAUGCCAUAGUCACACAAUAGUGCUGUUUCCUGAGGAGAUAUAAGA
Microcebus murinus (gray mouse lemur) is the source of this 126-nucleotide small nucleolar RNA. The record is from Ensembl. Lineage: Eukaryota; Metazoa; Chordata; Mammalia; Primates; Cheirogaleidae.